Long non-coding RNA from Pavo cristatus (Indian peafowl), 958 nucleotides. The record is from Ensembl. Lineage: Eukaryota; Metazoa; Chordata; Aves; Galliformes; Phasianidae.
CUUUACACCAAACAGAAAGUAAAUGUUUCAUUUGUUAAAUGGGCUGGUGGAAAACACUGCCUUUUUCUACCGCCUUCGGUUUCCUUCUGGGGGAAAAGGUUUUACCCUUAUGUGACUGAAAGUGCAUAAAAUGGAUUUGACGCUGCAGAUUUAAGUGUCUUGAAUGAAGACUGUUAUGCUGGGCAUGCAUUUUGCUGAGUCAAGAAGGACGUAAGUGACUCACUGGGCUGUGUGGGAACCAGGACCAGAAUCCAAUUGGUGCACUAACCAGACAACCACGUCAGCCCAGAGAAACGCCUCAAUUCCAAAUGAGCCACCAGGAGCAGCUGCUGCCUAAUGGCACUUCAGCUUACCUCUAGUUCUCCUGGUCUGUUCUCUGACAUCCUGGAAGAGGUUGGUCUUCAUCUAGAACCAGAACCUCUAAUUCAAUCUCAUUUGAAGAGGAGGAAGCAAUGCAGGUGGCAACUGUCCUGAGAAAAUGGAUUGUAGACAGAGAUGUGCAGAUGUUAUUGUCCUGUUUCCUUGCAGCAGGCAAGUUACUUUUACAUGUUCUUAUUCUUUUCCCUUUAUUGAAGCUGUUAAAUACUAGGUUAUCAUAUUCUCCUGGUACAAAACUACAGGAUUGGAUUGUGUAAUAUUUGGCUUCAAUUAAGUCACUUAAUUUCUGUUUCUUCAUUUCCUAUCUGAAGAGAGAGAUGGCUUUAUUUUCUCUCUUCUCAUUUCAAGCUUAUUUGGGAUUCUUUUAGUGUUUGUAGGGGGAAUAGCUGUAGUUAUAACAGCUUAUGUAGUUAUAUACCCUUGUACCUAAAAGUCCAUGCUUACAAAUAACAGUAACACUGCUGUACUCUGUAGCCAUUUCUUCUGAGCAGGAAAGCCAACACAAGAAAGUGGGACUUUGCUUGAGUGAGGUGAGGCCAUGGAGUAAGUAGAGUCGUCGUCCAAGUCUGACACAUUCAGU